GAUACCCAGGUAGUCCACGCCGUAAACGAUGAGUGCUAAGUGUUAGAGGGUUUCCGCCCUUUAGUGCUGCAGCUAACGCAUUAAGCACUCCGCCUGGGGAGUACGGCCGCAAGGCUGAAACUCAAAGGAAUUGACGGGGGCCCGCACAAGCGGUGGAGCAUGUGGUUUAAUUCGAAGCAACGCGAAGAACCUUACCAGGUCUUGACAUCCUCUGACAACCCUAGAGAUAGGGCUUUCCCCUUCGGGGGACAGAGUGACAGGUGGUGCAUGGUUGUCGUCAGCUCGUGUCGUGAGAUGUUGGGUUAAGUCCCGCAACGAGCGCAACCCUUGAUCUUAGUUGCCAGCAUUCAGUUGGGCACUCUAAGGUGACUGCCGGUGACAAACCGGAGGAAGGUGGGGAUGACGUCGAAUCAUCAUGCCCCUUAUGACCUGGGCUACACACGUGCUACAAUGGAUGGUACAAAGGGCUGCAAACCUGCGAAGGUAAGCGAAUCCCAUAAAGCCAUUCUCAGUUCGGAUUGCAGG
Molecule: ribosomal RNA, 525 nt
Filed under: uncultured bacterium
Lineage: Bacteria
Description: bacterial SSU rRNA
Rfam family: Bacterial small subunit ribosomal RNA
Source: RNAcentral